Non-coding RNA from Pelobates cultripes (western spadefoot toad), 337 nucleotides. NCBI's taxonomy places the organism in Eukaryota, Metazoa, Chordata, Amphibia, Anura, Pelobatidae. The record is from the annotation of a GenBank genome assembly.
CAUUCAUCAAUUAAGCUGCGGUUAACCGCAGCUUCAGGGAGGUUAAUUGCCCGCACACUCCAGCUCCCAGGUGGUCCAGUCAUUCGUACGGUUGUUCGGUAGAUUGAAACUACCGAACAACCGUCAGAAAAGCACGAAUACAGCUUUUCUGCAUGCAAAAAUAAAGUCUUUUAAAAGGGGACCAUAGUCCAAAGGCAGCAGGCGAGCAACCAGGCUUCUCCAAUGCAAUGUGGCGAGAUUGGUCUCGUCACAGCUGGUAUCAUCAAAGAUGAGCUUGUGGGGCCUUUUCGGGUUGAGGAUGGAGUCAAGCUCAACUCCCAGUCCUACUGCCAGUUCC